GGGUUGUGAGGUUAAGCGACUAAGCGUACACGGUGGAUGCCCUGGCAGUCAGAGGCGAUGAAGGGCGUGCUAAUCUGCGAUAAGCGCCGGUAAGGUGAUAUGAACCGUUAUAACCGGCGAUACCCGAAUGGGGAAACCCAGUGUGACUCGUCACACUAUCAUUAACUGAAUCCAUAGGUUAAUGAGGCGAACCGGGGGAACUGAAACAUCUAAGUACCCCGAGGAAAAGAAAUCAACCGAGAUUCCCCCAGUAGCGGCGAGCGAACGGGGAGGAGCCCAGAGCCUGAAUCAGCAUGUGUGUUAGUGGAAGCGUCUGGAAAGGCGCGCGAUACAGGGUGACAGCCCCGUACACAAAAGCGCAUGUGCUGUGAGCUCGAUGAGUAGGGCGGGACACGUGGUAUCCUGUCUGAAUAUGGGGGGACCAUCCUCCAAGGCUAAAUACUCCUGACUGACCGAUAGUGAACCAGUACCGUGAGGGAAAGGCGAAAAGAACCCCGGCGAGGGGAGUGAAAAAGAACCUGAAACCGUGUACGUACAAGCAGUGGGAGCCCCACCACCAAAGCAUUUGC
RNAcentral lists this ribosomal RNA (569 nucleotides) under Salmonella enterica subsp. enterica serovar Enteritidis. RNAcentral describes it as "partial 23S ribosomal RNA". It matches the Rfam family "Bacterial large subunit ribosomal RNA", at positions 1 to 591 of the family's 2925-position model. Lineage: Bacteria; Pseudomonadati; Pseudomonadota; Gammaproteobacteria; Enterobacterales; Enterobacteriaceae. The record is from RNAcentral.